AAGACUGUAUCUUCAGGGAUCAUUCCUUACCAGAGUAGUUUCUCAGAAUGCAAAGAGCACAGUGAACCUGAGGAGGGGGUGCCAGUGUUCGCUUUCCAGGAUGAAGCCUGCUCUUGGUGUUGCUUUGCUGCAGCUGCCAUUUGUCACUGAUGAUUGUUCUUUCCUUCCUUUUGCGGGAGCAAGAAGAGGAGGGUGCUGCCUGAGUGGU
RNAcentral lists this small nucleolar RNA (208 nucleotides) under Ictidomys tridecemlineatus (thirteen-lined ground squirrel). RNAcentral describes it as "Spermophilus tridecemlineatus (thirteen-lined ground squirrel) Small nucleolar RNA U3". It matches the Rfam family "Small nucleolar RNA U3". From Rfam's summary of the family: Small nucleolar RNAs (snoRNAs) are involved in the processing and modification of rRNA in the nucleolus. There are two main classes of snoRNAs: the box C/D class, and the box H/ACA class. U3 snoRNA is a member of the box C/D class. The record is from Rfam by way of RNAcentral. Lineage: Eukaryota; Metazoa; Chordata; Mammalia; Rodentia; Sciuridae.